ACUAAUAUGUCGGUCGUUACUUUGUACGUACUAGCUAUUAUUGGUUUCUCCCUUCUGACGAACCACGAUGUCAUUAAUUUGGUGUCGCGGGAAAUCAGGACUGUUACUUUGAAAAAAUUAGAGUGUUUAAAGCAAGCCCGCGCUUGAAUACAUUAGCAUGGAAUAAUGAAAUAGGACGUUUGAUUCUAUUUUGUUGGUUUCUAGGAUCGACGUAAUGAUUAAUAGGGAUAGUUGGGGGCAUUAGUAUUCAAUUGUCAGAGGUGAAAUUCUUGGAUUUAUUGAAGACUAACUACUGCGAAAGCAUUUGCCAAGGAUGUUUUCAUUAAUCAAGAACGAAAGUUAGGGGAUCGAAGACGAUCAGAUACCGUCGUAGUCUUAACCAUAAACUAUGCCGACUAGGGAUCGGAUGAUGUUAAUUUUUAAUGACUCAUUCGGCGCCUUACG
This 444-nucleotide ribosomal RNA is filed under the name uncultured Glomus. RNAcentral's name for it is "SSU rRNA". It matches the Rfam family "Eukaryotic small subunit ribosomal RNA", at positions 649 to 1092 of the family's 1831-position model. Lineage: Eukaryota; Fungi; Glomeromycota; Glomeromycetes; Glomerales; Glomeraceae. The record is from RNAcentral.